UAUCAGUCAUGCAUAGCAUAUCAAUAAGCGGAGGAAAAGAAACUAACAAGGAUUCCCUUAGUAACGGCGAGUGAAGCGGGAAGAGCUCAAAUUUGAAAUCUUCAAGGUUUUACCUUGACGAAUUGUAGUUUAAAGAAGUGUUUUCUGUUGAAGUUUUGGUAAAAGUUCUUUGGAAUAGGACAUCAUAGAGGGUGAGAAUCCCGUAUUUGACCAUUACUUUCAGCUUUGUGAUACACUUUCAAAGAGUCGGAUUGUUUGGGAAUGCAGUCCAAAAUGGGUGGUAAAUUUCAUCUAAAGCUAAAUAUUGGCGAGAGACCGAUAGCGAACAAGUACCGUGAGGGAAAGAUGAAAAGAACUUUGAAAAGAGAGUUAAACAGUACGUGAAAAUUGUCAAAAGGGAAGCGUUUGACACCAGUGUUGUUUUCUCGAAAAUCAAUUAAAAAGAGUUGGACUUUGUGUUGUAUUGACUUUAUCAGCUUUCUUCACUCUUUUCCAGCUUUCUUUAAUGCACUUUUCGUUUAACAAGUCAACAUCAGUUUCUUUUGUUGUAAAAAGGUCAUUGGAAGGUGGCUUUCUCUUCGGAGAAAGUGUUUAUAGCCUUUGACUCAUGCAAUCGGAGAGACUGAGGUCUGCAGCGUAGAUCCUUCGGGGUUAGAUACAUUUGUGCUAAGUUAUAGCUUUUCAUAGACAACUUGUUGACUAUGUUUAGUCUUGUAGCUUACUCGCUUAUGCUAUUUUACCUACGCUUAGGAUGUUGAACUCUAUCACACACAG
Molecule: ribosomal RNA, 774 nt
Filed under: uncultured Neocallimastigales
Lineage: Eukaryota; Fungi; Neocallimastigomycota; Neocallimastigomycetes; Neocallimastigales
Description: partial large subunit ribosomal RNA
Rfam family: Eukaryotic large subunit ribosomal RNA
Source: RNAcentral